GUGCUUUCUUUGGCAGCACAUAUACUAAAAUUGGAACGAUGCAGAGAAGAUUAGCAUAACCCCUCUGCAAGGAUGACAUGCAAAUUCAUGAAGUGUUCCAUGAAGUA
This 107-nucleotide small nuclear RNA is filed under the name Prolemur simus (greater bamboo lemur). The record is from RNAcentral. Lineage: Eukaryota; Metazoa; Chordata; Mammalia; Primates; Lemuridae.